Gallus gallus (chicken) is the source of this 1623-nucleotide long non-coding RNA. Lineage: Eukaryota; Metazoa; Chordata; Aves; Galliformes; Phasianidae. The record is from Ensembl.
ACUUAAUUGAAACAUAUAUAUAUACAUAUACAUACAUAUAUAUACAUAUAUACAUAUAUAUAUACAUACAUAUAUAUAUAAGUUUUGCAGUGAUAUAUAUAUAUAUAUAUGUUUGGCAGUGAUCUCGUGCUCCUGGUUCUUGCCUAGUUUCUGCUUAAAUAAGCUGAGAGGCUUCUGCUACUUUCGAUGGACUUUGUUUAAAACCUCUGUUGAAAACUCUUAACAUCUGGCAAUGCUAAACUGAAAAAGCAGUAUUGAAAGUAAGAGUUUGUCACGUAGAACCCAGAUCAAUGUGCUGGGCUCUGUGCUUUGCAUUUAAGAAAGGCUGAGAGAAAAGAAAAGGGAGAGAGUCUUUUCCUAGAAGAACCUAGAACAAGAUCUUAAACCAUGAGUGCUGGGGUAUCGGAAUUCCUUAUUACCCAAAUAUGUGGAAAUCUCGCCUUCAUCAGAAGUUCCUACACAAUUUUGGCACAAAUAUAACAAUUAUAUCUGCAAAUGAGAAAAAUGUGUUCUGUAAUAAGACUUGCCUGGACUGCAAAUUAAAAUGUUUAAAGAACACCAUUCUUUAAUUUUAGGCUCACCUUUAGUGGAAUGUGAUUUAGUAGAUUCCUUGUCUACUCCUUGCUCAGCCUUUGCUGCCUAAACAUAGGAUGUGCUGCUCAGGUCCAUGUGCUCAGGUCCACUGUCAGGGAGAAGCUGGCAGCUCUGAGGGGAGCAGGGUGAAGCCAAAUACUGAACUGCAUGCUGGAGGCUGCUGUUGACUACAAAAGGAGUUGAAGUGACCAGCUGAGAUCAGCUUCUAAAUGGGUAAACCCAGUAUUAAAGGCAGAAAUCAAAGCACAGGACCCAUGGGAAGCGACGUUUCAAAUGUACACCAUUGCUUUUCUUCGUCAUUGUUCUGAACUGUGCACCCUCUGCUCCUGACAGUGCACCCACAACAAGAUAAGGAGUUUGAGUACAUAAGUGUCUUCUGUGGGAAGAGGAGCAACAGCUGCCCACCAAAUUGGAAGAAGAUAUAAUGAAUGCAUCUUCUCUGAAUCACAAGAAAAAGACUAUUUCAACUUAAGAGAACAUUUUAAUCUCAGUCAAAAUGGGGCAUCUUCACCAUAAGGUUGUCUGCAGUCAUGGUGGCUGCUGAACCUAAGCUGAACUAUAAUGCCUCCUGGUGCAGAGGAGCAGAGGUGCCAGGGAAGGCUGGAAGCCACUUCUGAAGCAGGGGGCAGCUUUUAUUGCAGAGAGCUGCUGCAGGGUGCCCAGCCCAUGGAAAAGGGAAUGGAGGGGCUGAGGGCAGCACUGGCACAUGUGUCCUGUGGCUCUGCGGUGGGCUUUGGCUCCAGGGCAUGGCAGUAAGCCAUGACCCAGGCAACUCCAGGCCUCUCUGGACUCUCGUGGAGGCUGUUGGACCCAGAGGUCAUCCUGACACCCUGCUCCAAGACAGCCGCUGGCUUCGGCAAUACACACGGUGAUGUUAAUUUUGAUUUGGAGUGUGCAGUAACGAGCAAGCAGUGUGAUUAAUGCAUAAAGCUGACAGAAUGCACAGGCAUCUUCAAAGAAGCAGAGUGUAAGAGGUCAAGAAGGGUGUGUGGGGUGAAAUGAUGUUUCAGAAGCAGAAAGCGUGCCUGG